Molecule: ribosomal RNA, 1320 nt
Filed under: Triticum aestivum (bread wheat)
Lineage: Eukaryota; Viridiplantae; Streptophyta; Magnoliopsida; Poales; Poaceae
Description: partial small subunit ribosomal RNA
Source: RNAcentral
AUGUCGGAGACGACUGUGGUGGGCGGCGAGGAUUGCAUCAGCGCACUCCCCCUUGAUGUCCGGCUGCGCGUGCUGUCAUGUCUGCCGGCGGAAGAGGCCAUGCGCACCAUCUUCUCCGACCCCAAGGGUUUCAACAAGUUCGUGGACCAUCUACUCCUCCUCCGCAUCCACCUACCUCUCGAAAAGUGCGAGAUCUCGGCCUACUGUAACGUCGAUGAGGUUGACCCAUACCCAUACGUCAAUUUGUGGAUCCAGUAUGCUCUCAUCUGCAAGGUUCAGAUACUCGAUGUCAUCAUGCAUGACAACAUCCGUAGUUUAGACCUCACCGUGCCUCUCGCCUCCGAGCGCCUCACUACCCUAAAGCUUUACGAUGUUGACUUAGAGCUGUGCUCUGCACUUGUUGACUCCCAACCGCACCUUGAUUUCUCAAGCUGUCCAUUGUUGGUGGAUUUAAAGAUGGUUUGUUGCAAUGUUGAAGUGCACAAGAUCUCCUCUGAAUCGCUAAAGCGGCUGCGUGCCACCAGUUGUACCUUUGUUGGUUGUGGUGCUUCCCGCACUUGCAUCUGUGCACCAAGUCUUGUUUCACUACAGCUUAGUGAUUUCAUUUUGGACACCCCGUUGCUUCAAAUCAUGCCAUUGCUAGAACCAGCAUUCGUUAGGCUUAAUGACGAUUGUGGUGAUACCUAUGGUGUUACUGACCCAGGGGUGCAGAAUUGUGAGUAUGCUUCUCAAUGGUUUGCCAGAUGCUAUCCAUCUAGAGUUGAUAGCUGUUCUAAAGUGCACUCGCCUAUUCUUGAGAAGCUAACACUUCAGCUUCAUAAGGAUAAGCGGCAGCACUUCAACGCUGCAGGGGCCGACGGAAACCAUGAUUUUACAUGUGCUCACCUUAAGGCAAUUAUCAUUGAACGUCCUCCCAAAUGGAAUAUAGAGAUCGAUGAGAGGGCUUGGGAAAUUUCAGAGAUCUUAAUUACAUGCGGCAUACACCCUGAACAGUUUAUCUCCGGCUCUCCAUCCUUGUACUCCACUUGCUGGUUUGAUAUUUCCAAGAGUCUCCUGAUAGAUUUCGCCCUAGGCCGAGAUGGCCGAAAUUCGGCCGAAAUCCAUUUUUUUCGGCCGAAAUUCAAAACCCUGCUAAGCUGGCCCCGGCCAUCACAUCACAUCCCAUAUACGAGCGUCUGCCCGUGGAAACUAGCGUCCGAACAAUCCAAUCUGCUGCCGAUCCACACGAGGAUGGACCCAGCCGGCGACGGCGACGGCAUGUGCUUCCCCUACGAUGUGCUCCUUGACAUCCUCCGCCGCCUGCCGGGGCGCGACGUUUGA